Molecule: ribosomal RNA, 435 nt
Filed under: Aphanarthrum canariense
Lineage: Eukaryota; Metazoa; Arthropoda; Insecta; Coleoptera; Curculionidae
Description: partial 16S ribosomal RNA
Source: RNAcentral
UCGCAAUCUUCUUUGUCGAUUUGAACUCUCAAAAAAAAUUACGCUGUUAUCCCUAAGGUAACUAUAUCUUUUAAUCUAAAUAAUAGGAUCAAACAAUCACAAAUUAGUGGAUAUUUCUAAGAAAAGUUUUUUUAAUUUUACUGUCACCCCAACCAAAUAAACAACUUAAUAUAGAAUUUAGAUUCUAAUAAUCUAAAAAAAGUAAAUUUAUAAAGCUCUAUAGGGUCUUCUUGUCUUCUAUGAAUAUUUAAGCUUUUUCACUUAAAAAUAAAGUUCUAAAAAAUUUACACUGAGACAGUAGUUUCCUCAUUUAUCCAUUCAUUCCAGCUUCUAAUUAAGAAACUAAUUAUUAUGCUACCUUUGCACGGUCAAAUUACCGCGGCCAUUCAAUUACUUCAUUGGGCAGGACUGACCUUAAAUUAUAGUCAAAAGGCC